UCUAGGAAAAAAAAAAAAAAAAGGAUGAAAAAAAAUAAUCCAUGACCCCAAAUCCUCGCUAAUCAUCUCUGAGCGCUCGAGGGGCUGCGGUGGCUUUCCUCAGCAGGAAAGUCCUGCCCUGCAAACGCUGCCAGUUCUGCAGGAGAGUUCUCCCAGCUGCCAUCGCGAUAACCGCUCGGGGAGCAGGGGCACAGAGGAGUGGGCUUGGGGGGUGUUUGUGCAUGAAAGGAGGAGUCUGCUUGGCCUGAGCUGGGAGGGGAGCGGGCUGGCAGCAGUCGAGGGCGCCUCAGGGACCCCCGCGCUGCAGCGCCGCGGCUCUCCAUCAGGCUUCUCGAGCACGUCAUCGCUUCGAACGCGCUGCAGAGGCUUCGUCCCAGCAGAGCUGAGCCAGGAUGGGGCACAGAAAGCAAAUGGAGGCAAUCGAGGGGCUGACUGAAGGCGCAGCGAGCACUGCCUGCACCUCCUGCUGCAGCACCACGACUCCACGUGCCAGGCCCGCGGGUCCCAGCUCAGCAUGGGAAUGUUUGGGCCGGGCGCGCAGCGAAGGUUUCAGCCAAAUCAAAGAAUUUCACAGCACGGGUUUCAGCCAAAUCAAAGAAUUUCUCACCGAGAGCUUCGCAAACGUGUGUGAGUGUGUGUGUGUGCAUGCGCGCGUGACACACCUCUUCCACGCAAACAAAAGGCUGCGCUCACUCCCAGCUCUUCCUUUGAUCUCGGGCUGGAUUUGAACAGGCGCUCUUCAUAAAAAACAUCCUCAACAAUUACCCAAGGGAAGCGCUCGGGUCCACACCGCCCCGGGCAGCUGCAGCCACGGCUCCGAGGAGCAGCCCCAAGGCAGCUGCUCGCAGGGAGCACCCGUGGCCGGAGCCUUCCCACCCUAUGCAACCUCUCGGCCUCCCCGUAGGAAGCUCAGCUCUGAGCGAGGAGCAGAACAAGCCCAAGGCACCUUUUGGUGAUGUCCUCAUGGGAGAGCUCCCCGGCACGUCCCCCAUGCAGAGAUGGGAGCCCCCCAGAGACUCAGCCCCCCUAAUCCUUCUUGAAACGUGCAGAGUCCUCACAGCCCGCACCUGCUACAAGCUUUUUGCGCUCAGCUUUUUCAGCUCCGUCGCAAUGCAAAAAGGCAAGAAAUGAGUUAAAAGCCAGGACGUGGCCACCAAACAAGGAGGGCAGCAGGCACCCCACGAGCACAGCCUGCUGGCUGCAAUGCCCAUGGACGUCCCAUCAGGUCCGGAGCAGAGCACACCAGGGCAUCACACGAAGGCAAUCGCACGGCCCAGGGACGGUGCCGUGAGCCACCCUGGCUCCAAACCCCCCUGGCACUGCAAGGACAGGGUCACGGCAGCGUGCCAGCCAGCCAGGAGCAGCAGCAGCGC
This is a long non-coding RNA of Cygnus olor (mute swan), 1373 nucleotides long. RefSeq lists it as uncharacterized. The transcript is spliced from 2 exons. NCBI's taxonomy places the organism in Eukaryota, Metazoa, Chordata, Aves, Anseriformes, Anatidae. The record is from RefSeq and is a predicted model, not a curated record.